CUUGCAUGACCGUCACUUCACAGCAGGAUGUUCCCCUUAAUAGGGGCACCUCUCAAGGUUACUCCACGAGUUUGAGACACUCCUUGCUCCAACAGAUCCUUAGUCUCAGGAUGGGAACCUGUUUUUGCUCCUGUUGGAUGUACUUUCCCUACACAAUGCAUCUAGAAGUAAGAAAUACAAGUCACUGCCUUGAAGUAAUAGAGUCUGCUUUACUGCUGGGAUGUGAGUGACCCAGGCAUUCAGGAAGAUGCAGCAACAGAACUAAGGUUAAAACUUCCUGCCACAUAACCUUAACUCCAUGUAGAAGUAAUAUUUUAACAGUGAAACCCUUUACCAAGCUCUUCCAACAUUGCUCCAUUCUUGUUCUCAGAAGAAUCUUCUUAUCUGACUGCUCUGUUGCUCUGUUACUGAAAUGUUUAAGUGUUUGCUUAGUGAGACAGGUGAGCUGCCGUGAUAAUUCUGUUUUUUACAUACUUUGUUUUGGGAAGAGGUGCCAGCCAUGCUAGCUGAUACAGAUUGCUCUGCAAGCUUGAGGGAAGAAGGGUGUCAUUAAAAUACCCAUCCAGACAAAUCCACUAAUUUCCUGAUGACUUCCAGAAACUGUUCAUACUCUACUGUUCCUCAGCUGUCAUCAAAAUAUGGGCAGAAAUUUAGAUGUAUAUAUUUAUUUACAGAAUAUGAAAUAGGGAGCACCAAAAUCCUCUAUUACUGUGCCCACCAAGAAAUCCUGUAUAAAUACUAGUGGUCAGGUUGGUCAUUGGAUUUGUAUUUGGGAACAAAUUUUUCUAUACUCUGCACUGCCAGGGAUGUCAAAAUUUGUCAAUUGUUUUGUACAUUGGCUUUUAUUUUAAUGACACCAAAUCAAUAUAUUCCUUUUAACAUGUUUACAUCCUUUCAGGAGCUUAAGACUGUUUUAUCUAAACAUUUCCUUUCUGAAAGCAGUCCCCUACAAUUGUACCAGAGGUCUGUGAUGUUAAAUAUUACUGAUUAAUAGCAAGAGGUUGGAGGAAGAUGAGAGCUUUUAAUAUGAAAGUGGACAUAGAUAUUUUGAUUAUACCUUCUGGCAUACAACUCUGUAUAACAUUUCUUCUUCACCCCUUUCUCAUACAAUAAAUAAAAUAGAUCAUCAGGAACAUUUGAAAGAAACAAAACUCUUAGGUCAUGACUCCCACUUGACUUGUGCUUAUUAUCUGUUCUGGAUAAGCUUAUUCUCAUUUAAAUAGUUCUCAUAUAAGUGGCUUUGUGCACAACUUCCAGACUCCUACUUGAAGCUACAGUUAACAUUUUGAGUCACUCUAGACAUAUCUUUGACUAUUCCUGUAAUGUUUGUUUUCUUUUUCUUCUUCUUUUCUUGGUUUUUUGUUUUGGUUUUUGUUUGGUUUUUGUUAUUGUUGUUUGUUUUGUUGUUAAGCUGGUUGGUUGUUUUGGAGUUUUGGUUUUUUGUUUGUUUGUUUUGUUCUGGUUUGUUUUUCUUUUCUAAUAUAUCUGAUACACAUAUUUUGUGCCUCAACUGUCUGCUGCCCAUGAUUUGGAGAGGAAAAUAAUUUUUGUUUUACAUCUGUAAAGGCCGUCUAAAGUAGAGAUGCCAAAAUUUAAAAUUGGUAUUCUGCCUAUAGAAUCAUAGGAUUGCUAAGGUUGGAAAGUACUUCAAAGAUUAUGUCCAACCAUUAAUGUGACACUGCCGUCUUCACCACUAAACAUAUUCCCAAGUACCACAUCUAGACAUUCCUCAAACAUUUCCAGAGAUUGUUAUUCUACCACUUCCCUGGGCAACCUAUCUCCAUGCUUGACCACCCUUUCGGUUAAGAAAUUUUUCCUAAUAUGCAAUCCAUCCAAGACUGAUCCUCUUCAAGAGCCAUUUGAUGUCACUCUAAACAAUCUGCUUCAUAACCUUUCCCAGCAACAAGAUCAGACUGACAGGCCUGUAAUUCCCUGUAAUUCCCUCCUUCUGGGCAUUCUUGUAGAUUGGCCUCACAUUUUCUCAUCUCCAAUCACCUGCAGUCUUCCUGGUUAGCCAGGUCUGCUGGUAAAUGAUUGAAAGUGGCUUGGUGAGCUCUCCCAGCAGCUCUGUCUGUACUUUUGGAUGGAUGCAAUCCAGACCCAUGGAAUUUUGUGUAUCUAAGUAGUGUAGCAGGUCACUGACUGUUUCCACUUGGAUUAUGGGGUCUUCAUUCUGCUCCCUGUCCCUGUGAUAAUUUAUCUUAAAAAGACAAAUGGAGUUACCUUUCAUUCAUAUUCUGCUUUUUUUGCAGACAUGAUAUUUACAUAAAUACUCUUUAAAAAAUUUUAAAUUUGUCUUCAUCAGAUUUUUUUUACAUUUCAAUAAGGAUUAAUCUUUAUUUCUCACCUCUUUGUCCUGAAUUUAGAGUCUUGCAAACUUGUUUGCUGCUACAGAUAUCAGGAUAUGUAGCAAUUACUAUUAUGAACAACCUUCCUUUUUCCUCUUACAAAGCUUGAGUGCCCCUUGGCAAGGUCUCUGCAUUCAAAAUAUUAUUCAACACAAAGUGAACUUGAUUAUCUAUUACUUAAAAGCUUGUAGAGUCAUUUCUACUUCUGCAUAGUCUGUAUAAUGUCCUGAAUUAGUUUUCAUAAUUUUACAGGGAAUAUAUUCACACAGGGAAUAGAUUGUGCCACAGAUAAAAUAUGUUUAAUACAGACAAUAGAAAAUUUUUCUAAGCUCUAAGCAUUAAAAACUGAAAUGAGUAA
Melospiza melodia melodia is the source of this 2706-nucleotide long non-coding RNA. RefSeq lists it as uncharacterized. The transcript has 3 exons. The record is from RefSeq and is a predicted model, not a curated record. NCBI's taxonomy places the organism in Eukaryota, Metazoa, Chordata, Aves, Passeriformes, Passerellidae.